UUUUGUUAAUGUAAAUAUACCUAAAUGGUCUGCAUCCGAGGAAUGGUGCUUGUUAAACCCUGUACUUUAGCACAAAAAGGCCAACAUCAGAAGAUGGAGGCAGCAGGAAAAUCUAAUGUCAUCUAAUGUUACUGGAAUAUUUUCACAUCUAACCAUAUCUGGUGCUCUGUUGCUAUGAAUCCAGAAAGAGGGUCAGAGGCCACCAGGCGCAGGGUUGUCUACAAGAAGACCAGUGUAAUGGUCCAGAAGAAAUCUCCUGCAGUCACAGGGAUCCAGACUCACUUUUUUUACAAGGAGCGCUAGGCCACUUCUUUCACCAUGCAGUCGCAUGGUCCCAUGGGUUUUCAUGUAAAAAGGAGAAACUCCUUGACUUUGAAUGGAGCUUCCUAUAGUUGUGAAUCUGGAAUAAUGCUGCAGAUUGGAACAGUAAUGAUUAAUGUGAUGGUCAUCUGUCCUGGAACAACAAGAUUUGAAUCAGGACUGUCCACACCCACCCAGACUCUUCAUGGUACCUCCCACAGGAACUAAGAGGGCAGUCUCUGACAAGGAAUUAGAGAAUUUUUGUUUAUUGCCACAGUUCUAAUCGGCUCUUUCUGUUUUUUACUAAAAUCUUGCUGAUUUCUCUGGGUCAUCCAACAGGUUUUCUUUUUCUAUUUUGACAGUAGCAGUAUUCAUGUUGACACUCCCCUUUCAAAUAAAUGUAUUUGAUUUUUAUCCUUUCUAAGUGUUUAUUGUUCAUUAUGCAUAAUAUUCAUCAUGAUGCAUAUUUUAAUGAAUUUGUCUGUAGCACACAGGACAAUGAUGUUCUAAUGUUAAAUGCAUUGAAGACUGAUAUUUUAGAUAAUAUUUAUACUGCUAAAUUGAUUCAUUGUAUUAUCUACUGUACCUGUCUACAGUAAACUAUGAAAGUUAAAGUAACACCCUGAACAACUUGUUAUUCCAAAUAGUCACAGAAAUAUGCUGCAUUUAAUU
This 972-nucleotide long non-coding RNA is filed under the name Scophthalmus maximus (turbot). RNAcentral's name for it is "lncRNA (ENSSMAG00000030131.1)". The record is from RNAcentral. Lineage: Eukaryota; Metazoa; Chordata; Actinopteri; Pleuronectiformes; Scophthalmidae.